RNAcentral lists this ribosomal RNA (253 nucleotides) under uncultured bacterium. Its description in RNAcentral is "partial 16S ribosomal RNA". It matches the Rfam family "Bacterial small subunit ribosomal RNA", at positions 524 to 776 of the family's 1533-position model. The record is from RNAcentral.
GACAGAGGGUGCAAACGUUGUUCGGAAUUACUGGGCGUAAAGCGCGUGUAGGCUGCUCUGCAAGUCGGAUGUGAAAGCCCUGGGCUCAACCUAGGAAGUGCACUCGAAACUGCAAAGCUGGAGUCCUGGAGAGGAAGGCGGAAUUCUCGGUGUAGAGGUGAAAUUCGUAGAUAUCGAGAGGAACACCGGUGGCGAAGGCGGCCUUCUGGACAGUGACUGACGCUGAGACGCGAAAGCGUGGGGAGCAAACAGG